GUGAAUCAUCGAAUCUUUGAACGCACCUUGCGCCCUCUGGUAUUCCGGAGGGCAUGCCUGUUUGAGUGUCAUGUAGACUCAAUCCCUCGGGUUUCCGAGGAGAUUGGACUUGGGUGUUGCCGCUCUGCCGGCUCGCCUUAAAAGACUUAGCGGGAUAGCACCGUAGUCGGCGUAAUAAGUUUCGUCGGUGAAGGUUGUGAUGACUGCUUACAAUCGCCCUUGGGCAAUUUUUGACUCUGACCUCAAAUCAGGUAGGACUACCCGCUGAACUUAAGCAUAUCAAUAAGCGGAGGA
RNAcentral lists this unclassified non-coding RNA (294 nucleotides) under Saitozyma sp. Its description in RNAcentral is "partial contains 5.8S ribosomal RNA, internal transcribed spacer 2, and large subunit ribosomal RNA". The stretch from base 1 to 71 matches the Rfam family "5.8S ribosomal RNA", at positions 84 to 154 of the family's 154-position model. Lineage: Eukaryota; Fungi; Basidiomycota; Tremellomycetes; Tremellales; Trimorphomycetaceae. The record is from RNAcentral.